AUGAAAACAUGAGGAGAGACUGCAAUACAUUUGCGAGUUUCACAACCCGUAAAAACAGAAGCUGAGCAAAGCUUUUCUGCAGCGCCGAAGGAGCAAGCGAAUCCGUGAAUCUCUCAGGCAAAAAGACUCUUGUUUGACG
This 139-nucleotide non-coding RNA is filed under the name Anaerobacillus isosaccharinicus. RNAcentral's name for it is "Anaerobacillus sp. NB2006 Glycine riboswitch aptamer". It matches the Rfam family "Glycine riboswitch aptamer". Rfam says of the family: This family represents the bacterial glycine riboswitch. Glycine riboswitches usually consist of two metabolite-binding aptamers domains with similar structures in tandem. RNAcentral also lists the same sequence under 1 other name. The record is from Rfam by way of RNAcentral. Lineage: Bacteria; Bacillati; Bacillota; Bacilli; Caryophanales; Bacillaceae.